UUCUUUGUUGUAAAUGAAUCUUAUUCUAUUGUAAUCUUUCUUGAGAGUAGAUGAUAGCUAGAUGAAUGUUGAUUGCUUGCUCGGCUCCCCUUCCUUCUCCUUUUCUAUUGUUGUAGGGAAUGGAGUAAGGUAGCUUAACUCGAACGGAAUGACCGAGUCAAAGCGGUUUUUCUGCUUCUAUACUUUGACUGUCUUCGCCCCUCUCCUUAUCAAUAUCAAUCGCAGCUCCUUUGUUCGUCUCCUCUUAUGAAUACAUACCUCUUUAACUCCUCCAAAUUGAACUAUUACCUCUUGACCUCCCAUAAUGAAUAGUGAAAUGUGCUAUUGCGUAACUACCCCUAUGGCAAAAAACACUUCUUGAAACAAGCUGUAGUUACUUGUCUGCUUACUUCAGCUUCUGCCCUG
RNAcentral lists this long non-coding RNA (405 nucleotides) under Musa acuminata (dwarf banana). Its description in RNAcentral is "long non-coding RNA (MACU_LNC001281)". Lineage: Eukaryota; Viridiplantae; Streptophyta; Magnoliopsida; Zingiberales; Musaceae. The record is from RNAcentral.